Molecule: RNase P RNA, 253 nt
Filed under: Ruminococcus sp.
Lineage: Bacteria; Bacillati; Bacillota; Clostridia; Eubacteriales; Oscillospiraceae
Description: partial RNase P RNA component class A
Rfam family: Bacterial RNase P class A
About the family: Ribonuclease P (RNase P) is a ubiquitous endoribonuclease, found in archaea, bacteria and eukarya as well as chloroplasts and mitochondria. Its best characterised activity is the generation of mature 5'-ends of tRNAs by cleaving the 5'-leader elements of precursor-tRNAs.
Source: RNAcentral
AGAUGUGUAUUAGAGACAUGAAAUAUACUGCCCGAUUUUUCGGGUGAUGGUGGAAAGGUGCGGUAAGAGCGUACCAGAGUGCAGGAGACUGUACUGCUAUGUAAACUUUACCUGAUGCAACGUCUAUUGGUGCUUUAUAUCUUAACGUCUGCUCGGCGGAUAUGAAGUAACGACGGCUUGAACUUUCCGGCGACGGAAAGUCUAGAUAAAUUGCUGUACACGACAGAAUCCGGCUUAUCGGUCUGGUCAUAUU